This 381-nucleotide ribosomal RNA is filed under the name uncultured eukaryote. Its description in RNAcentral is "partial 18S ribosomal RNA". It matches the Rfam family "Eukaryotic small subunit ribosomal RNA", at positions 592 to 976 of the family's 1831-position model. The record is from RNAcentral.
CAAUAGCGUAUAUUAAAGCUGUUGCGGUUAAAAAGCUCGUAGUUGGAUUUCUGUCAAGGACAACUGGUCCGCCCUCCGGGUGAGCACAUAGUUUGGUCUUGACAUCUUGCUGGAAGCUGUUGCUGCACUUGGCUGUGUGGCGCAGUGUUCAGCACUUUCACUUUGAGGAAAUUGAAGUGUUUCAAGCAGGCACAUGCCUUUGGACACAGUAGCAUGGAAUAAUUAGAUUGGGCUUUUGCUCCAAUUUGUCGGUUUCUGGAGCUGAGGUGAGUAUUAAUGGGGAUUGUUGGGGGCAUCCGAAUUUAGCCGUCAGAGGUGAAAUUCUUGGAUCUGCUAAAGACGGACAACUGCGAAAGCGUUUGCCCAGGAUGUUUUCAUUGA